GUAUUGUAUUGCGUUAAACGCGGCAAACAUUCCAUGAGACUUUAUGGCAGUGUGUGUGUGUGUAAAUACGUAGAACCACAGCAAGGGGGGACAAACCCACCCAGGCCAUAGAGCUACGGAGGGUGCACAGGUGUGGGUGGAUGUGUAAACAGAGUGUGCACGUGACCCCGGCCUGGGGACCAGCAACAACUCGUGUUGACAAUUCGGUAAUGAUCCUUCCGCAGGUUCACCUACGGAAA
Molecule: unclassified non-coding RNA, 239 nt
Filed under: uncultured fungus
Lineage: Eukaryota; Fungi
Description: sequence contains ITS1
Source: RNAcentral